GUGGGGAAUCUUCCGCAAUGGACGAAAGUCUGACGGAGCGACGCCGCGUGAGUGAAGAAGGCCUUCGGGUCGUAAAGCUCUGUCAUCAGGGACGAACGGCCGGUGGAGUGGAAAGCCACCGGAUUGACGGUACCUGAGAAGGAAGCCACGGCUAACUACGUGCCAGCAGCCGCGGUAAUACGUAGGUGGCAAGCGUUGUCCGGAAUUAUUGGGCGUAAAGCGCGCGCAGGUGGGAUCUUAAGUCCAUUUUGAAAGUUCGGAGCUCAACUCCGUGAUGGGAUGGAAACUGGGAUUCUUGAGUACCGGAGAGGAAAGCGGAAUUCCCCGUGUAGCGGUGAAAUGCGUAGAUAUGGGGAGGAACACCAGUGGCGAAGGCGGCUUUCUGGACGGUGUCUGACACUGAGGCGCGAAAGCGUGGGGAGCAAACAGGAUUAGAUACCCCGGUAGUCC
Molecule: ribosomal RNA, 450 nt
Filed under: uncultured bacterium
Lineage: Bacteria
Description: partial 16S ribosomal RNA
Rfam family: Bacterial small subunit ribosomal RNA
Source: RNAcentral